This 497-nucleotide ribosomal RNA is filed under the name uncultured bacterium. RNAcentral describes it as "partial 16S ribosomal RNA". It matches the Rfam family "Bacterial small subunit ribosomal RNA", at positions 28 to 507 of the family's 1533-position model. The record is from RNAcentral.
GAUGAACGCUGGCGGCGUGCCUAAUACAUGCAAGUCGAGCGAACGGACGAGAAGCUUGCUUCUCUGAUGUUAGCGGCGGACGAGUGAGUAACACGUGGAUAACCUACCUAUAAGACUGGGAUAACUUCGGGAAACCGGAGCUAAUACCGGAUAAUAUUUUGAACCGCAUGGUUCAAAAGUGAAAGACGGUUUUGCUGUCACUUAUAGAUGGAUCCGCGCUGCAUUAGCUAGUUGGUAAGGUAACGGCUUACCAAGGCAACGAUGCAUAGCCGACCUGAGAGGGUGAUCGGCCACACUGGAACUGAGACACGGUCCAGACUCCUACGGGAGGCAGCAGUAGGGAAUCUUCCGCAAUGGGCGAAAGCCUGACGGAGCAACGCCGCGUGAGUGAUGAAGGUCUUCGGAUCGUAAAACUCUGUUAUUAGGGAAGAACAUAUGUGUAAGUAACUGUGCACGUCUUGACGGUACCUAAUCAGAAAGCCACGGCUAACUACGUG